This 179-nucleotide ribosomal RNA is filed under the name Providencia stuartii. RNAcentral's name for it is "partial 23S ribosomal RNA". It matches the Rfam family "Bacterial large subunit ribosomal RNA", at positions 1 to 180 of the family's 2925-position model. The record is from RNAcentral. Lineage: Bacteria; Pseudomonadati; Pseudomonadota; Gammaproteobacteria; Enterobacterales; Morganellaceae.
GGUUAAGCGACUAAGCGUACACGGUGGAUGCCUAGGCAAUCAGAGGCGAUGAAGGACGUGCUAAUCUGCGAAAAGCGUCGGUAAGGUGAUAUGAACCGUUAUAACCGACGAUGUCCGAAUGGGGAAACCCAGUGCAGUUCGUUGCACUAUCGUUUGAUGAAUCCAUAGUCAAACGAGGC